GAUGAAGAACGCAGCGAAAUGCGAUAAGUAAUGUGAAUUGCAGAAUUCAGUGAAUCAUCGAGUCUUUGAACGCACAUUGCGCCCCCUGGUAUUCCGGGGGGCAUGCCUGUCCGAGCGUCAUUGCUGCCCUCAAGCACGGCUUGUGUGUUGGGCCCCGUCCUCCGAUCCCGGGGGACGGGCCCGAAGGGCAGCGGCGGCACCGCGUCCGGUCCUCGAGCGUAUGGGGCUUUGUCACCCGCUCUGUAGGCCCGGCCGGCGCUUGCCGAUCAACCCAAAUUUUUAUCCAGGUUGACCUCGGAUCAGGUAGGGAUACCCGCUGAACUUAAGCAUAUCAAUAAGCGGAGGA
RNAcentral lists this unclassified non-coding RNA (346 nucleotides) under soil metagenome. RNAcentral's name for it is "partial contains 5.8S ribosomal RNA, internal transcribed spacer 2, and large subunit ribosomal RNA". The stretch from base 1 to 120 matches the Rfam family "5.8S ribosomal RNA", at positions 35 to 154 of the family's 154-position model. The record is from RNAcentral.